GUUUUUUUAUUUAGCCAUUGCACCCAUGUGUUUUUCUUUGAAACAAACUUGCUUUGGCGGUGGGCCCAGCCUGCCGCCAGAGGUCUAAACUUACAACCAAUUUUUUAUCAACUUGUCACACCAGAUUAUUACUAAUAGUCAAAACUUUCAACAACGGAUCUCUUGGUUCUCGCAUCGAUGAAGAACGCAGCGAAAUGCGAUACGUAAUAUGAAUUGCAGAUAUUCGUGAAUCAUCGAAUCUUUGAACGCACAUUGCGCCCUCUGGUAUUCCGGAGGGCAUGCCUGUUUGAGCGUCGUUUCUCCCUCAAACCGCUGGGUUUGGUGUUGAGCAAUACGACUUGGGUUUGCUUGAAAGACGGUAGUGGUAAGGCGGGAUCGCUUUGACAAUGGCUUAGGUCUAACCAAAAACAUUGCUUGCGGCGGUAACGUCUACCACGUAUAUCUUCAAACUUUGACCUCAAAUCAGGUAGGACUACCCGCUGAACUUAAGCAUAUCAAUAAGACGGAGGAA
RNAcentral lists this ribosomal RNA (511 nucleotides) under Candida albicans. RNAcentral's name for it is "eukaryotic LSU rRNA". The stretch from base 143 to 296 matches the Rfam family "5.8S ribosomal RNA". Lineage: Eukaryota; Fungi; Ascomycota; Pichiomycetes; Serinales; Debaryomycetaceae. The record is from RNAcentral.